Piliocolobus tephrosceles (Ugandan red Colobus) is the source of this 821-nucleotide long non-coding RNA. RefSeq lists it as uncharacterized. Lineage: Eukaryota; Metazoa; Chordata; Mammalia; Primates; Cercopithecidae. The record is from RefSeq and is a predicted model, not a curated record. The transcript has 3 exons.
CUGGUUCCGCCGCAGCACGGGUAGGCGGCAGCCCUCGAUUAUCUCCCCCUGGGGAGACAGCGCGGCGCCAGGGUCGGCUACUGGGGGGCCUCGGGCUCUACCCACCUCCCCUGGCUCCCUCCGCCCCGCCCCGGGCACCGGACUCACCACCUCCGCCAUCUUCCCUCCCUCCACUGCCACUUCCGGCCCCUGUGGGAGACGUCACUUCCGGGACCGAGCCCGCUGUAGGCCCGGGCCUCACGAAGCCCCUGUAGAGGGGCACUUUUGAGAGACACCGCGACCCAGCUGCAAGGGGCAAGACUGCCCCUGUGACUCUGCGGAAAACGGAGUGUUACAAGCCUCAGACCGAGCCCUAGGUGGAAACCCCACAACGUGCACAGGGAUUGGAGAACUAGUGAGUCCGUCACGUGACGCCCACCGGGUGCGACGCUGUUCACGUGGAUGCGGAGCGGGUCACGUGGCAAUACCGUUUGCCCUUUGACGGAGGGCAGUCCUCGGGCGUCUCCUUGUGGAGGCGGGAGGUGUGGUCGGGAGUGAACUGCACGCGAGAGGCUGGAGAAAGGAAGUGGGCUUAGAGGGGCUCGAACGCUCCCACAGACAUUACUCUCAUUAACUGGACUCUGCAAGCAGCAAGCAACCGAACCUGCAUUUCAGUUACAAUUUUGGUGGCCCAUAUGGGGAAGUGCUGUCCGCUCUAGCAGCUGCCAAAAGUGCUUUUGUUUUUGGAGGAGCCUUCCUUUCACCUCCCGGCAUGACAUCUGCCACCUUCCGUGUUUCACUGGUACAAAGCAAGUGACCUCUGAAGAAGAUAGCAAACUUUG